CAAUUUUGUCAAAUCACAUUCUUUCAUAAAAUUUAAUAUUAUAAUUUUGGUAUUAGCAUUUGUUUUCAAUAUUAAUAUUUAUUUUAUUUAGAAAAUAAAUUAAAAACAUAUGUUUUUAAUUUUAUUUACUUAUUUUAUAUUAUUAUUGAUUUAUUUUAAUUUAUUUUUUUAUGUUUAUUUUUUUAUAUUUGUAUAUAAAUG
Molecule: long non-coding RNA, 201 nt
Filed under: Lathyrus oleraceus (garden pea)
Lineage: Eukaryota; Viridiplantae; Streptophyta; Magnoliopsida; Fabales; Fabaceae
Description: Pisum sativum (pea) long non-coding RNA (PSAT_LNC017670)
Source: RNAcentral